Molecule: long non-coding RNA, 386 nt
Filed under: Brassica napus (rape)
Lineage: Eukaryota; Viridiplantae; Streptophyta; Magnoliopsida; Brassicales; Brassicaceae
Description: long non-coding RNA (BNAP_LNC017384)
Source: RNAcentral
GAGAAUAAUAAUUCGAAUGAUUCAUGAAUUAAAGUCACUCUUUGCUGCACGUUUCUGCAUGAUCUCUUAUUCGUCCUUUGAAAUGUUUUAAGUAAUCAAUUGAUUUGUUGAAGUAGAAAUUUGUUGCUGGUGAUGAACUGAGUAGUAGUUUGCGUGGAAAAUAUUAGAUAUUAUUGUUCUGUUGAUAAAAAAAAAAUUAGAUCUGUAUAAUGUUUUGAUGUGUUUAAAAAAAUUAUUUACCUUGGAAAAGUUUAGGAAUUAUGCUUGUGAUGAUGACAACUUUAAAUUUCCUAUUAUUCUUGCUUUGUAGGUGAUGUUAGGAGUUUUCAAGGCUCCAAAGACAAAUGAUGUAGUAUAAAAGAUUGUCGAACCAAUUCUAAGGGAUU